Molecule: long non-coding RNA, 642 nt
Organism: Carya illinoinensis
Lineage: Eukaryota; Viridiplantae; Streptophyta; Magnoliopsida; Fagales; Juglandaceae
Exons: 2
Source: RefSeq, a predicted model, not a curated record
GUCAGUGCAAAUUAUUCAUAUAUAUUUGGUUUUAAAUAGACCCCACGUAGCAGUGGGCAAGAGGCCUUCAGAAUCAAUCAAACUGUUGUGUGUCUUGACACUUCCUCAACUGACACCUCCCAUAGAACCAUCACCAUGGGGACGAUGUAAAUCCGUUGGGUUGCACCGUUUGGAGUGUUCAACCCAAUGAAUCUACAAUAUAUAUCUUGAUCGUCAUAUCUACCUAUAUAAAUGAGAAGGUUGGGGAAUAAGCUGCAUAGCUAAUUAAUUUCUACGGUAUAAAAUGCAGAUAGCUGCAACGCGUAGGGACGUUGUAGCAGUGGCAUUUUUCUUUCUCUGCUUCUUUUCUCUUCUCAUCAAAGCUCGGAGCAUCAGACAAGACUCCUGUGGUACUGUUGAUGGCUCUGAUAUGAGUCGUGGAAAUCAUUUUGUGGGAAGAGAUCAAGAGGGGUGCAUUAAUGAUCAUGAAGGAGAGUUGAUAGCAAUGGACUACACUCCAGCCCGGACGAAAACUCCAAUUCAUAACUUGUAGUAAUGGCGUGAACUGCAUUAUUAAUUACUUUGUAACUAGAGCUAGCUUAGCUAGGGAAAGACCUUUUAUUAGUACAUGCAUGGCAGAUAUAAACCAUUUUGAUGAUCUUA